AGAGUUUGAUCCUGGCUCAGAUUGAACGCUGGCGGCAGCCAAACACAUGCAAGUCGAACGGCAGCAUGACCUAGCUUGCUAGGUUGAUGGCGAGUGGCGGACGGGUGAGUAAUGCAUCGGGACCUGCCCAGACGUGGGGGAUAACGUAGGGAAACUUACGCUAAUACCGCAUACGUCCUACGGGAGAAAGCGGGGGAUCUUCGGACCUCGCGCGGUUGGAUGGACCGAUGUUCGAUUAGCUUGUUGGCGGGGUAAUGGCCCACCAAGGCGACGAUCGAUAGCUGGUCUGAGAGGAUGAUCAGCCACACUGGGACUGAGACACGGCCCAGACUCCUACGGGAGGCAGCAGUGGGGAAUAUUGGACAAUGGGCGCAAGCCUGAUCCAGCAAUGCCGCGUGUGUGAAGAAGGCCUUCGGGUUGUAAAGCACUUUUAUCAGGAACGAAAUACCACGGGUUAAUACCCUAUGGGGCUGACGGUACCUGAGGAAUAAGCACCGGCUAACUUCGUGCCAGCAGCCGCGGUAAUACGAAGGGUGCAAGCGUUAAUCGGAAUUACUGGGCGUAAAGCGUGCGUAGGCGGUUUGUUAAGUCUGUUGUGAAAUCCCCGGGCUCAACCUGGGAAUGGCAAUGGAUACUGGCAAGCUAGAGUGUGUCA
RNAcentral lists this ribosomal RNA (655 nucleotides) under uncultured Gammaproteobacteria bacterium. RNAcentral's name for it is "bacterial SSU rRNA". It matches the Rfam family "Bacterial small subunit ribosomal RNA", at positions 8 to 653 of the family's 1533-position model. The record is from RNAcentral. Lineage: Bacteria; Pseudomonadati; Pseudomonadota; Gammaproteobacteria.